This 2604-nucleotide long non-coding RNA is filed under the name Malus domestica (apple). RNAcentral's name for it is "long non-coding RNA (MDOM_LNC004869)". The record is from RNAcentral. Lineage: Eukaryota; Viridiplantae; Streptophyta; Magnoliopsida; Rosales; Rosaceae.
GGUCUCAUCAAUUUCAUUUAUUUAAUCACAAUCAAAUAAAUAAUGUCCUAUUACAACUACUAGUCCAAAGUUAAUGAAAUUAGUAGCAUAUAAUAUCCCCACUAUUCGUUUUUCAAAAAAAAACAAAUCAAUAUCAAAACAUUUUUCAAAAUAUUGGAGAUAUAUAUAACUACUAAUUGUAUUCAUUAUAAUUUAGUAGCGUAUGAUACUCCCACUAUUUGUUUUGAGAAAAACAAAUCAAUAUCAAAAACGAAUUUUUCAAAUAUUGGAAGUAACUACUACUACUACGGUUUUUGCAUUCCUUUGAAAUUGGACUUUAUAGUUAUCUUAGGCUCUUGGAUGACUAUGGACUUAUUAGGUUAUUGCAACAACGAGCCAACAUUGUUGAAUAAAAACUCGGGGAGGUUGUGUCAAUUUAAUUACGUGCUUAUCAAUUCAAUUAAAACCAUUUUCAUUGAGCCAUUAGAAAUGAAAGACAAUCAUUCAUUGCUAAUUAGGGCGUUGGACCCAUUUAAUCUUUAAUCUCAUGUCAAAACCCUUCUUUUAGUUAUGUCUCCUUACCAAUAGUUAAAGAAACUCUAGUCUAGCACUAGAGGGAAUCAACUAAUGAAUAGAGAUUAAGAAGUAAUAAGAAUUACAAACCGAUUUGUACAAAUUCCUAUAAAUUACAUAUACUAAAAGGAGAGAGAUAGAUUAACGUCAAACGUGACAAGGUCCAAUUAAACAGUAAUUAAAACACAUUCCCAAGGUUCAAACAAUUUGAUUUUAGCGCCUUAUCUCAUAGCUCAAUUAUCGUUUAAGGCAUAAGUCCAAAGUCAUCCAUUUCACAACUAUUUAACCACAUUUAAAUAAUUAAAUGGAAUGCAACAUAAACAUUUAGAUUUAGUGCAUAUGGGCAUAAUAUAAAUAUGAGUUUAAAUAACUAACAAAAUUAAAAUCAAAUAUUUUAACUUUCUAGUUAGUAGGGGCCUAAUUGCAAAUAAGAAAAAGUUAGGGGUCAAACCAUAAAUACUCAAAAGUAUAAAAUGUCUUUUUCUAAAUUACAAAAUACCCCACAAGUGGGUAUUUUGAUAGGGUAGGCCGGCCAUAUAUUGUGGGGAUGGAAGGUCUCACUUAUCUUGCUUUAAAUCAUUUCAAAGUAGGAAUAACAAAUUUUAUUUGUCACUUGUCUAUGCUUUAAGGACUUUAAUGAAACAAAAUGAUGGAAAUUCACCUAAUAAAGAUUAGGAUUUAAUAUAUUUUUGAGAUGGCUAUGGAUGGUAUGUACAUCAUCCAAAACCACAAAACAAUGCAUGAAAACCAUUUUCAUCAAAUCCAAACCAUGAACACCAAGAACAAAACCAUGAACACAUUUUCAAGAUUUAUAUGUUCUUGGUGAUUUUUCAAACCCAAAAACAAAAGUGACAAGAUUUCUACUUUCUAACUUUAAAUUGUGUGUGUGAUUCAAAAUAAAAACACAAACACUAAGCCAAAACCAUGCCAACCCCAAGUAACAAAACCCCAAAUUUGUUCAUGACUUAUUCUUCAUUCAUGCAUACAAAACAACUUUUACAUGCAUAUCUUUUUCAACUCUUGAUUUAUAUUUUUUUCAACCAUUGAAAAACAAAAGAUAAACAUACUUUUAAAUGAAGAAAUAAUAUGUCAUACUAGUUCUAAACUCAUUUUUCAUUCAUGCAUACAAAACAUUUUGCAUACAUAUCUUUCUCAACUUUUGACUAAUCAUUUUUCAACUAUUGAAAAACAAAAGAUAAACAUACUUUGAAUGGAAAAGUAAUAUGUCAUACAUAACAUUAAUACCCAUAUGCAUAAAAUCCAAAAGGACACAUUAUACAUAAACCUUUGGCUCUGAUACCAAUUGAAGGGAAAUUUAUGAGUUUCAUGUGGGAUUUCUAGAUGACUAGCAUGCAUAUACAAUUUAAAAUUUAUAUACAUGAGCAACGGAAGCAUGUUAUCAAAUAAAAUCAAAGCUAUAGUCAUGCAAAUCCCCUUCAAGGUUCAUAGGUUUAUAUAUAAUGCAUCAAAACAUUUUAAAGAAUCAAGAACAAAGUCAAGGAAUAGAUCUAUACCUCUUGAUCUUGAUUUUAGACCAAGGAUGGACCACCUCCAAGCUCUUUGCUCCUUGAAAUCCUUGAGCCUAGCUUCCCUCCUUGCCUCCUCCACUUUGAAAGAAUGAGUGCUCCUAGGUUCUCUUCAAGUUUCCAAAGUAGGAAACCUCUAAAGAUCCUCACCCACUAGUGUAAUGAGAAGGAUGAAGGAAUAACCAAAAGGGUGAAAGAUUGUUAGCUAUUUUUCCCUUAAGGUGGCCGGCCCUUGUGAGUAUUUGAGAGAGUUUUUCUUUAGCCUCUUUGUAGUUCUAAACACACAAAAAACCCACUUGAAACAUUUGCUAUAAAGUUCCUUUUAUAGACAAAAGAAACCUAGUCAACAACUUGACUAUUCUUCUCUCCUAAACACCUAAAGUGGCCGGCCCUUGUAGUGUUGUUUGGGCUUUGGGCUUUUAUUAUUUCAAGUCAUCCAAUGCUUGAAUGAAAGCCCAAUGGGCCCAAUUAAACCCGAACGUUUCUUUAAGCCCAAAACGAUCUUUAUCGCUUUUAUGAUUUCUUU